This 501-nucleotide ribosomal RNA is filed under the name uncultured bacterium. Its description in RNAcentral is "partial 16S ribosomal RNA". It matches the Rfam family "Bacterial small subunit ribosomal RNA", at positions 30 to 523 of the family's 1533-position model. The record is from RNAcentral.
AUUGAACGCUGGCGGCAGGCUUAACACAUGCAAGUCGAGCGGAGCGAGGGUGCUUGCACCUUAGCUUAGCGGCGGACGGGUGAGUAAUGCUUAGGAAUCUGCCUAUUAGUGGAGGACAACAUUCCGAAAGGAAUGCUAAUACCGCAUACGCCCUGCGGGGGAAAGCAGGGGAUCUUCGGACCUUGCGCUAAUAGAUGAGCCUAAGUCGGAUUAGCGAGUUGGUGGGGUAAAGGCCUACCAAGGCGACGAUCUGUAGCGGGUCUGAGAGGAUGAUCCGCCACACUGGGACUGGGACACGGCCCAGACUCCUACGGGAGGCAGCAGUGGGGAAUAUUGGACAAUGGGCGGAAGCCUGAUCCAGCCAUGCCGCGUGUGUGAAGAAGGCCUUUUGGUUGUAAAGCACUUUAAGCGAGGAGGAGGCUACUUAGAUUAAUACUCUGGGAUAGUGGACGUUACUCGCAGAAUAUGCACCGGCUAACUCUGUGCCAGCCGCCGCCGUAA